RNAcentral lists this ribosomal RNA (992 nucleotides) under Leuconostoc carnosum. Its description in RNAcentral is "bacterial SSU rRNA". It matches the Rfam family "Bacterial small subunit ribosomal RNA", at positions 49 to 1030 of the family's 1533-position model. Lineage: Bacteria; Bacillati; Bacillota; Bacilli; Lactobacillales; Lactobacillaceae. The record is from RNAcentral.
CUAUACAUGCAAGUCGAACGCACAGCGAAAGGUGCUUGCACCUUUCAAGUGAGUGGCGAACGGGUGAGUAACACGUGGACAACCUGCCUCAAGGCUGGGGAUAACAUUUGGAAACAGAUGCUAAUACCGAAUAAAACUUAGUAUCGCAUGAUACCAGGUUAAAAGGCGCUACGGCGUCACCUAGAGAUGGAUCCGCGGUGCAUUAGUUAGUUGGUGGGGUAAAGGCCUACCAAGACAAUGAUGCAUAGCCGAGUUGAGAGACUGAUCGGCCACAUUGGGACUGAGACACGGCCCAAACUCCUACGGGAGGCUGCAGUAGGGAAUCUUCCACAAUGGGCGAAAGCCUGAUGGAGCAACGCCGCGUGUGUGAUGAAGGCUUUCGGGUCGUAAAGCACUGUUGUAUGGGAAGAAAAGUUAAGGUAGGGAAUGACCUUAGCCUGACGGUACCAUACCAGAAAGGGACGGCUAAAUACGUGCCAGCAGCCGCGGUAAUACGUAUGUCCCGAGCGUUAUCCGGAUUUAUUGGGCGUAAAGCGAGCGCAGACGGUUGGUUAAGUCUGAUGUGAAAGCCCGGAGCUCAACUCCGGAAAGGCAUUGGAAACUGGUUAACUUGAGUGCAGUAGAGGUAAGUGGAACUCCAUGUGUAGCGGUGGAAUGCGUAGAUAUAUGGAAGAACACCAGCGGCGAAGGCGGCUUACUGGACUGUAACUGACGUUGAGGCUCGAAAGUGUGGGUAGCAAACAGGAUUAGAUACCCUGGUAGUCCACACCGUACACGAUGAACACUAGGUGUUAGGAGGUUUCCGCCUCUAGUGCCGAAGCUAACGCAUAAGUGUUCCGCCCGGGGAGUACGACCGCAGGUUGAAACUCAAGGAAUUGACGGGACCCGCACAAGCGGUGGAGCAUGUGGUUUAUUCGAAGCAACGCGAGAACUUACCAGGUCUUGACAUCCUUUGAAGCUUUAGAAAUAGAAGUGUUCUCUUCGGAGACAAG